GAUCAUGGCUCAGGAUGAACGCUAGCUACAGGCUUAACACAUGCAAGUCGAGGGGAAACGGCAUUUAGUGCUUGCACUGAAUGGACGUCGACCGGCGCACGGGUGAGUAACGCGUAUCCAACCUUCCCAUUACUGUGGGAUAACCUGCCGAAAGGCAGACUAAUACCUCAUAGUCUUCGAUGACGGCAUCAGAUUUGAAGUAAAGAUUUAUCGGUAAUGGAUGGGGAUGCGU
This 232-nucleotide ribosomal RNA is filed under the name uncultured bacterium. Its description in RNAcentral is "partial 16S ribosomal RNA". It matches the Rfam family "Bacterial small subunit ribosomal RNA", at positions 15 to 236 of the family's 1533-position model. The record is from RNAcentral.